This 926-nucleotide long non-coding RNA is filed under the name Canis lupus familiaris (dog). Its description in RNAcentral is "lncRNA (ENSCAFG00845021850.1)". Lineage: Eukaryota; Metazoa; Chordata; Mammalia; Carnivora; Canidae. The record is from RNAcentral.
CCCCCCUCGCCCCCCCCGCCCCCCACCUCCCCUCCCCCUCCUCCCCUCCCCCUCCCGGUUUACCCCGCGGGGCUAGCGUGGGCGGGGCCGGGCAGCCCGGGGGUCUGGGGGGGUGGGGGGGGAGUACCCGGCAGGCGGCCCCCGGGUGCGCAGGGCCGAGCUCUGGGACCUCCCGUCGGUGCCCCGGACCAGCUGCGUCGAGGCCUGCGCCCAUCGCCUCCUCGAGCUUCCUCAGAGGGCGUUGGCCCUGCUGCCCGCCCGCAAAUCCAUCCCGGUCCCCGUCCCCACGAGGGUGGCCCGAGGGCCCGAGGAUGAACGGGGGUCGCAAAGCGCAGGAGGGCCCAGGUGGAGCUGGAGGCGCUGGGAAGCUGUCCCUCGGGCCACCACAAGAAGAGUGUCUUCAGCGAGUUGGUUUGGGAAACUCGGCUCCUGGAGAGGCGGUUGUGGGGGGCUGCGGGUGGGGCGCUGGGCCCAGCCCGGAGCAGGACCGGGCGCCGUGUUACCCCGUCGGCCACCUGAGGGUGAAGUCCCCAUCCAGGCUCCUCCGUCCGUCGCAGGAGGCCCCGAGCCGCUGUUCUCCGCCUUCACCGGGGAGAUGCCGGUGCCCCUCGGAACUGCGGGGUGAACUGAGGGGCGGAAUUCAAGACCUAGCGCUCCCUCCUUUAAAAGGAAGGCUGAUGCUGCUGUGCGUAGACACGCCUCCUGCCCGUGCGGACCCUCCCCGACCUGAGGAAAAGCCCGGCCCGGGCGCACCGGAGGUCUCCUGGCUCAGAACUGCGGCAGGAGCUCGAGGAUGUUGAUGAAGGGACUUCGUAGGUCCUCUCGAUUGUUUUCUUUGCUGUGGCAAAUGCCAGCUGUGUUGUUGUUUACAAAAGAAGGAAAGAAUAAUCGCGGUAGAAAUGAUAAGACUUUGGUCUAAAAUUCAC